CCUAAAUACCAAAAACAGGAGGGAAAAUAUUUACUUUCUAUUUUUCAUCUAGGAACAAUUUAAUGUUCCUAGGCGUUUGUCUUUUCAUUUGUUCUUAGUCUGAAGCAAGGAAUCUUUCUCAAGGUUUCCAACAAUAAGAAACUAUCUUCUGGGUAUGGAGCAUAACUCAGGAAGCCUGGGGAAAAGCACCAAUCAAAGUUCAGGUUCAUCACAACAGAUUGAGCAUUCCAACCCAAGACCAGAAGCCUCAUAUACAGAGCAAAAUAUUGAGGAAGAUUGGGAUGUCUUUGAAGAGGAGUCUCUUGCCAUGAAGGAGUCAGCCUAUGAUGAUGGACUAAACUGGGAUGAGGAGUUUCAUGAUACCAUGGAGGAGUCUGCCUUUGAUGAUUGUGUAAACUGGGAUGAGGAAUUUGAAAGGGUUGCUGGCAGAGAUGGAUCUCCCUCAACAUGCAAGGAGGAUUCAGUGAUUAAUGUGGAACAACCACUCUGUGACAAUGCCCUUACAACUGUUGCUGAGUGCCUUCUUAUCAUAUGAUAUAUAUAAAUUGUCACAAAGUCACUGGAAAGGCCCUCAUUGACUUACUGAAACUGAUUACGUUGCUUUGUCCAGAAGAAUUUAACACAGAUUGUUAGAGCAGCAUACAUAAAUUCAGAGAAUUUCCCCCCAUCUCUGCUGCAGUAUCCUAUAUCUUGCACAAGUAUCGUAGUCCUUAUUUGGUAUUAGUUGAGAAGGAUGAUAGCGUAUGUCAAUCGUGUGGUGCCAAUGUGCUGAAAGAGGAAGCAACAUCUUAUUUUAUUGKCGUUUCUAUUGAGGAGCAACUGCAGGUGCUGGUUGCAAAAGAGAGAUUCAAAGAAAAAUGUCAGAAUUUCAGAUUCAAGAGGCAGAAAAAUUUGGAUAUACACUGCUCAAAAAAAUAAAGGGAACACUUAAACAACACAA
Long non-coding RNA from Salvelinus sp. IW2-2015, 940 nucleotides. RefSeq lists it as uncharacterized. The record is from RefSeq and is a predicted model, not a curated record. Lineage: Eukaryota; Metazoa; Chordata; Actinopteri; Salmoniformes; Salmonidae.